GAUGAACGCUAGCUACAGGCUUAACACAUGCAAGUCGAGGGGAAACGGCAUCGAAAGCUUGCUUUUGAUGGGCGUCGACCGGCGCACGGGUGAGUAACGCGUAUCCAACCUGCCCAUCACUUGGGAAUAACCUUGCGAAAGUAAGACUAAUGCCCAAUGACAUCCCACGAAGGCAUCCGAAUGGGAUUAAAGAUUUAUCGGUGAUGGAUGGGGAUGCGUCUGAUUAGCUUGUUGGCGGGGUGACGGCCCACCAAGGCAACGAUCAGUAGGGGUUCUGAGAGGAAGGUACCCCACAUUGGAACUGCGACACGGUCCAAACUCCUACGCGAGGCAGCAGUGAGGAAUAUUGGUCAAUGGGCGAGAGCCUGAACCAGCCAAGUAGUGUGCAGGAUGACGGCCCUAUGGGUUGUAAACUGCUUUUAUAAGGGAAUAAAGUGGGUCACGUGUGACUUUUUGCAUGUACCUUAUGAAUAAGGACCGGCUAAUUCCGUG
RNAcentral lists this ribosomal RNA (492 nucleotides) under uncultured bacterium. Its description in RNAcentral is "partial 16S ribosomal RNA". It matches the Rfam family "Bacterial small subunit ribosomal RNA", at positions 28 to 507 of the family's 1533-position model. The record is from RNAcentral.